GACGAACGCUGGCGGCAUGCUUAACACAUGCAAGUCGAACGGAAAGGCCCUGCUUUUGUGGGGUGCUCGAGUGGCGAACGGGUGAGUAACACGUGAGUAACCUGCCCUUGACUUUGGGAUAACUUCAGGAAACUGGGGCUAAUACCGGAUAGGAGCUCCUGCUGCAUGGUGGGGGUUGGAAAGUUUCGGCGGUUGGGGAUGGACUCGCGGCUUAUCAGCUUGUUGGUGGGGUAGUGGCUUACCAAGGCUUUGACGGGUAGCCGGCCUGAGAGGGUGACCGGCCACAUUGGGACUGAGAUACGGCCCAGACUCCUACGGGAGGCAGCAGUGGGGAAUAUUGCUCAAUGGGCGGAAGCCUGAUGCAGCAACGCCGCGUGCGGGAUGACGGCCUUCGGGUUGUAAACCGCUUUCGCCUGUGACGAAGCGUGAGUGACGGUAAUGGGUAAAGAAGCACCGGCUAACUACGUG
This 468-nucleotide ribosomal RNA is filed under the name uncultured bacterium. Its description in RNAcentral is "partial 16S ribosomal RNA". It matches the Rfam family "Bacterial small subunit ribosomal RNA", at positions 28 to 507 of the family's 1533-position model. The record is from RNAcentral.